Molecule: ribosomal RNA, 457 nt
Filed under: uncultured bacterium
Lineage: Bacteria
Description: bacterial SSU rRNA
Rfam family: Bacterial small subunit ribosomal RNA
Source: RNAcentral
UACGGGAGGCAGCAGUGGGGAAUAUUGCACAAUGGGCGAAAGCCUGAUGCAGCUAUGCCGCGUGUAUGAAGAAGGCCUUAGGGUUGUAAAGUACUUUCAUCGGGGAGGAAAAAACAAAACUAAUAAUUUUAUUUCUUGACGUUACCCGAAAAAGAAGCACCGGCUAACUCCGUGCCAGCAGCCGCGGUAAUACGGAGGGUGCUAGCGUUAAUCAGAAUUACUGGGCGUAAAGAGCACGUAGGUGGUUUUUUUAAGUCAGAUGUAAAAUCCCUGGGCUUAACCUAGGAACUGCAUUUUGAAACUGAAAUACUAGAGUAUCGUAGAGGGAGGUAGAAUUCUAGGUGUAGCGGUGAAAUGCGUAGAUAUCUGGAGGAAUACCUGUGGCGAAAGCGGCCUCCUAAACGAAUACUGACACUGAGGGUGCGAAAGCGUGGGGAGCAAACAGGGAUUAGAUACC